RNAcentral lists this ribosomal RNA (460 nucleotides) under uncultured bacterium. RNAcentral's name for it is "partial 16S ribosomal RNA". It matches the Rfam family "Bacterial small subunit ribosomal RNA", at positions 338 to 795 of the family's 1533-position model. The record is from RNAcentral.
CCUACGGGGCGCAGCAGUGAGGAAUAUUGGUCAAUGGACGAGAGUCUGAACCAGCCAAGUAGCGUGAAGGAUGACUGCCCUAUGGGUUGUAAACUUCUUUUAUAUGGGAAUAAAAUGUUCCACGUGUGGGAUUUUGUAUGUACCAUAUGAAUAAGGAUCGGCUAACUCCGUGCCAGCAGCCGCGGUAAUACGGAGGAUCCGAGCGUUAUCCGGAUUUAUUGGGUUUAAAGGGAGCGUAGGUGGAUUGUUAAGUCAGUUGUGAAAGUUUGCGGCUCAACCGUAAAAUUGCAGUUGAAACUGGCAGUCUUGAGUACAGGAGAGGUGGGCGGAAUUCGUGGUGUAGCGGUGAAAUGCUUAGAUAUCACGAAGAACUCCGAUUGCGAAGGCAGUUCACUGGACUGCAACUGACACUGAGGCUCGAAAGUGUGGGUAUCAAACAGGAUUAGAUACCCCUGUAGUC